UUGAAGAGUUUGAUCAUGGCUCAGAUUGAACGCUGGCGGCAGGCCUAACACAUGCAAGUCGAGCGGUAGCACAGAGAGCUUGCUCUCGGGUGACGAGCGGCGGACGGGUGAGUAAUGUCUGGGAAACUGCCUGAUGGAGGGGGAUAACUACUGGAAACGGUAGCUAAUACCGCAUAACGUCGCAAGACCAAAGUGGGGGACCUUCGGGCCUCAUGCCAUCAGAUGUGCCCAGAUGGGAUUAGCUGGUAGGUGGGGUAACGGCUCACCUAGGCGACGAUCCCUAGCUGGUCUGAGAGGAUGACCAGCCACACUGGAACUGAGACACGGUCCAGACUCCUACGGGAGGCAGCAGUGGGGAAUAUUGCACAAUGGGCGCAAGCCUGAUGCAGCCAUGCCGCGUGUGUGAAGAAGGCCUUCGGGUUGUAAAGCACUUUCAGCGGGGAGGAAGGCGGUGAGGUUAAUAACCUCAYCGAUUGACGUUACCCGCAGAAGAAGCACCGGCUAACUMCGUGCCAGCAGCCGCGGUAAUACGKAGGGUGCAAGCGUUAWYCGGAAUUACUGGGCGUAAAGCGCACGCAGGCGGUCUGUCAAGUCGGAUGUGAAAUCCCCGGGCUCAACCUGGGAACUGCAUUCGAAACUGGCAGGCUAGAGUCUUGUAGAGGGGGGUAGAAUUCCAGGUGUAGCGGUGAAAUGCGUAGAGAUCUGGAGGAAUACCGGUGGCGAAGGCGGCCCCCUGGACAAAGACUGACGCUCAGGUGCGAAAGCGUGGGGAGCAAACAGGAUUAGAUACCCUGGUAGUCCACGCUGUAAACGAUGUCGAUUUGGAGGUUGUGCCCUUGAGGCGUGGCUUCCGGAGCUAACGCGUUAAAUCGACCGCCUGGGGAGUACGGCCGCAAGGUUAAAACUCAAAUGAAUUGACGGGGGCCCGCACAAGCGGUGGAGCAUGUGGUUUAAUUCGAUGCAACGCGAAGAACCUUACCUGGUCUUGACAUCCACAGAACUUUCCAGAGAUGGAUUGGUGCCUUCGGGAACUGUGAGACAGGUGCUGCAUGGCUGUCGUCAGCUCGUGUUGUGAAAUGUUGGGUUAAGUCCCGCAACGAGCGCAACCCUUAUCCUUUGUUGCCAGCGGUYMGGCCGGGAACUCAAAGGAGACUGCCAGUGAUAAACUGGAGGAAGGUGGGGAUGAC
This 1187-nucleotide ribosomal RNA is filed under the name Klebsiella variicola. RNAcentral describes it as "bacterial SSU rRNA". Lineage: Bacteria; Pseudomonadati; Pseudomonadota; Gammaproteobacteria; Enterobacterales; Enterobacteriaceae. The record is from RNAcentral.